Molecule: transfer RNA, 74 nt
Filed under: Wolbachia endosymbiont of Brugia malayi
Lineage: Bacteria; Pseudomonadati; Pseudomonadota; Alphaproteobacteria; Rickettsiales; Anaplasmataceae
Also listed under: 1 other name
Description: tRNA-Arg
Rfam family: tRNA
About the family: Transfer RNA (tRNA) molecules are approximately 80 nucleotides in length. Their secondary structure includes four short double-helical elements and three loops (D, anti-codon, and T loops).
Source: RNAcentral
GCGCCCGUAGCUCAGCUGGAUAGAGCAACAGCCUUCUAAGCUGUGGGUCGUAGGUUCAAAUCCUACUGGGCGCA